UCCUUGGCAGUCCUGUGGUCAGGACUCCACACUUUCACUGCCAAGGGUCUAGGUUCAAUUCCUGGUUGGGGAA
This 73-nucleotide transfer RNA is filed under the name Bos taurus (domestic cattle). It matches the Rfam family "tRNA". From Rfam's summary of the family: Transfer RNA (tRNA) molecules are approximately 80 nucleotides in length. Their secondary structure includes four short double-helical elements and three loops (D, anti-codon, and T loops). Lineage: Eukaryota; Metazoa; Chordata; Mammalia; Artiodactyla; Bovidae. The record is from Rfam by way of RNAcentral. RNAcentral also lists the same sequence under 7 other names.